RNAcentral lists this ribosomal RNA (468 nucleotides) under uncultured bacterium. RNAcentral's name for it is "partial 16S ribosomal RNA". It matches the Rfam family "Bacterial small subunit ribosomal RNA", at positions 28 to 507 of the family's 1533-position model. The record is from RNAcentral.
GACGAACGCUGGCGGCGUGCUUAACACAUGCAAGUCGAACGGAAAGGCCCUGCUUUUGUGGGGUGCUCGAGUGGCGAACGGGUGAGUAACACGUGAGUAACCUGCCCUUGACUUUGGGAUAACUUCAGGAAACUGGGGCUAAUACCGGAUAGGAGCUCCUGCUGCAUGGUGGGGGUUGGAAAGUUUCGGCGGUUGGGGGUGGACUCGCGGCUUAUCAGCUUGUUGGUGGGGUAGUGGCUUACCAAGGCUUUGACGGGUAGCCGGCCUGAGAGGGUGACCGGCCACAUUGGGACUGAGAGACGGCCCAGACUCCUACGGGAGGCAGCAGUGGGGAAUAUUGCACAAUGGGCGGAAGCCUGAUGCAGCAACGCCGCGUGCGGGAUGACGGCCUUCGGGUUGUAAACCGCUUUCGCCUGUGACGAAGCGUGAGUGACGGUAAUGGGUAAAGAAGCACCGGCUAACUACGUG